This 265-nucleotide ribosomal RNA is filed under the name uncultured bacterium. RNAcentral's name for it is "partial 16S ribosomal RNA". It matches the Rfam family "Bacterial small subunit ribosomal RNA", at positions 57 to 305 of the family's 1533-position model. The record is from RNAcentral.
GCAAGUCGAACGAGAAAGGGAUUGCUUGCAAUCCUGAGUAGAGUGGCGCACGGGUGAGUAACACGUAGAUAAUCUACCUUCACGCCCGGAAUAACUAUUCGAAAGGAUAGCUAAUACCGGAUGAAGUUGGUUUACCUAAGUAAAUCAAUGAAAGAUUGCCUCUUUACAAUGCAAUCGCUUGGAGAUGAGUCUGCGGACCAUUAGUUUGUUGGUGGGGUAAAGGCCUACCAAGGCAUCGAUGGUUAGCUGGUCUGAGAGGAUGAUC